AUGGCGGCAUCCCUGAUCCAAGAUCCCGUGAUCUCGACGACCUCGACCUGCGCGCCGGAGAGGAAGCGGGGCGAACACGUGUUCAAAAUUGAAGGCUACAGCGUGUGCAAGGGCUUCGGCGUCGGCAAGUUCAUCCGGUCGGCCACCUUCUCCGUCGGGGGCCACGACUGGUGUGUCCGCUACUACCCCGACGGUGUCACAGAGGCCUACAGAGACUACGUCUCAGUCUACCUCGAGCUCAUGAACAGAGAUGUGGAGGUGCUGGCGCUGUGCCAUCUGACGCUGGUCCAGUAGGCUACAGGGUCGCCGGCACAAUUUGCAUUGCCAAAACUAAUGGCGCGUAGUAUAACCUGGUCCUGGGGCUAUGCCACGUUCGCGACGAGGAGCGACCUCGAAGCGUCUUCGCACUGGUACAUCCCCGACGAUGUCCUUCUCAUUAAGUGCGAGCUCACUGUUAUCAAGCCAAGGGUAGCACAGGUGCCUCCUUCGGACUUGUCGGAAAAUCUUAGAAGUUUGCUGGAGGAGGGGGAGGGAUCGGAUGUGUCUUUCAAGGUCAAAGACGAGGUUUUCACUGCCCACAAGAUCGUCCUUGCAAUGCGCUCGCCGGUCUUCAAGGCCGAACUCUACGGGCCAAUGAGGGACAAAUGUGAGCAAAGUAUAACCAUCAAAGAUAUGGAGCCUGCUGUUUUCAAAGCAUUGCUUCACUUCAUCUACUCAGAUGAGUUGCCUCCCAAUCCCAUGGACGAUCUCAAUGAUGAUGACAAAGAAGAAAUGGUCAAGCAUUUGCUCGUGGCUGCGGACAGAUAUGGCAUGGAGAGGAUGAAGUUGAUGUGUGAGAGCAAACUUUGCAAGUUUCUUGAGGCCAGUAAUGUGGCGACCACGUUGGCUCUUGCUGACCAGCAUCAUUGCAGCAAGCUCAAAGAUGCUUGCAUUGGAUUUAUCAACUCUUUAGAUAGAGUGGAUGAUGUGAUGACUAGUACAGGGUAUCAGCACCUGAAAAUAGCAUGUCCUAGUGUCUUUGCUGAUAUGUGGGAGAAAGCUGCGAAGACUCGCAGAAUACAGUAG
Molecule: ribosomal RNA, 1065 nt
Filed under: Triticum aestivum (bread wheat)
Lineage: Eukaryota; Viridiplantae; Streptophyta; Magnoliopsida; Poales; Poaceae
Description: partial small subunit ribosomal RNA
Source: RNAcentral